GCAUAAUCACUAGUCUUUUAAUUGGAGGCUUGUAUGAAUGGUUGAAUGAGAUAUAUACUGUCUUUUUUAAAAUUAUAUAGAAUUUUAUUUUUUAAUUAAAAAGUUAAAAUAAAAUUAAAGGACGAGAAGACCCUAUAGAUCUUUAUUUUUGUUAUUUAUAAAUUAAAAAGAAUUUUAAAAUUUAUAAUUUAAUAAAAAAUUUUAUUGGGGUGAUAUUAAAAUUUAAAAAACUUUUAAAAUUUAUUAACAUAAAUAUAUGAAUAAAUGAUCCAGUUUUAUUGAUUAAAAAUUUAAGUUACCUUAGGGAUAACAGCGUAAA
This 319-nucleotide ribosomal RNA is filed under the name Culex quinquefasciatus (southern house mosquito). Its description in RNAcentral is "partial 16S ribosomal RNA". The record is from RNAcentral. Lineage: Eukaryota; Metazoa; Arthropoda; Insecta; Diptera; Culicidae.